CCUACGGGUGGCAGCAGUCGGGAAUAUUGCUCACUGGGGGAAACCCUGAAGCAGCAACGCCGCGUGGAGGAUGAAGGUUUUCGGAUUGUAAACUCCUUUUGUUAGAGAAGAUAAUGACGGUAUCUAACGAAUAAGCACCGGCUAACUCUGUGCCAGCAGCCGCGGUAAUACGGAGGGUGCAAGCGUUACUCGUAAUCACUGGGCGUAAAGAGCGCGUAGGCGGGAUAGCAAGUCAGAUGUGAAAUCCUAGGGCUUAACCAUAGAACUGCAUUUGAAACUGUUAUUCUAGAGUAUGGGAGGGGGAGGUGGAAUUCUUGGUGUAGGAGUAAAAUCCGUAGAGAUCAAGAGGAAUACUCAUUGCGAAGGCGAGCUGCUAGAACAUAACUGACGCUGAUGCGCGAAGGCGUGGGGAGCAAACGGGAUUAGAUACCCCGGUAGUC
Molecule: ribosomal RNA, 440 nt
Filed under: uncultured bacterium
Lineage: Bacteria
Description: partial 16S ribosomal RNA
Rfam family: Bacterial small subunit ribosomal RNA
Source: RNAcentral